UGUAUACUAGGUGGUUGAAGUAUUGAUCCUUUGACUGCCGGAGCUAACGCAUUAAGUAUACCGCCUGGGGAGUAUGCCGGCAACGGUGAAACUCAAAGGAAUUGACGGGGGCCCGCACAAGCAGUGGAGCAUGUUGUUUAAUUCGAAGAUACGCGAGAAACCUUACCAGGUCUUGACAUAUACCUGAAUGGUGUGGAAACACAUCCGCCCCUCGGGGCAGGUAUACAGGUGCUGCAUGGUUGUCGUCAGCUCGUGCCGUGAGGUGUUGGGUUAAGUCCCGCAACGAGCGCAACCCUUAUUCUUUGUUGCUAACAGGUUAAGCUGAGCACUCUAAGGAGACUGCCGGUGACAAACCGGAGGAAGCUGGGGAUGACGUCAAAUCAUCACGGCCCUUAUGAUCUGGGCUACAAACGUGCUACAAUGGGCGGCACAAAGAGUUGCGAUACCGCGAGGUGGAGCUAAUCUCAAAAAACCGUCCUCAGUUCGGAUUGGAGUCUGAAACCCGACUCUAUGAAGCUGGAAUUGCUAGUAAUCGCACAUCAUCAUGGUGCGGUCAAAUGUUCCCGGGCCUUGACACACCGCCCGUCACGUCACCCGAGUUGAUUAUACCCGACGC
Molecule: ribosomal RNA, 616 nt
Filed under: uncultured organism
Description: bacterial SSU rRNA
Rfam family: Bacterial small subunit ribosomal RNA
Source: RNAcentral